GGGGUCGAGGCUCAGUUGUAGAGCAUUCGUCUAGCACAUGUGAGGCCCUGGGUUCGAUCCUCAGCACCACG
Molecule: transfer RNA, 71 nt
Filed under: Marmota monax (woodchuck)
Lineage: Eukaryota; Metazoa; Chordata; Mammalia; Rodentia; Sciuridae
Description: tRNA.Ala
Source: RNAcentral